This 694-nucleotide ribosomal RNA is filed under the name Corynebacterium callunae. RNAcentral's name for it is "bacterial SSU rRNA". It matches the Rfam family "Bacterial small subunit ribosomal RNA", at positions 31 to 734 of the family's 1533-position model. The record is from RNAcentral. Lineage: Bacteria; Bacillati; Actinomycetota; Actinomycetes; Mycobacteriales; Corynebacteriaceae.
GAACGCUGGCGGCGUGCUUAACACAUGCAAGUCGAACGAUGAAGCUUAGCUUGCUAGGUGGAUUAGUGGCGAACGGGUGAGUAACACGUAGGUAAUCUGCCCUGCACUUUGGGAUAAGCCUGGGAAACUGGGUCUAAUACCGAAUAGGACACACUAUCUUUACGGUGGUGUGUGGAAAGCUUUUGCGGUGUGGGAUGAGCCUGCGGCCUAUCAGCUUGUUGGUGGGGUAAUGGCCUACCAAGGCGUCGACGGGUAGCCGGCCUGAGAGGGUGUACGGCCACAUUGGGACUGAGACACGGCCCAGACUCCUACGGGAGGCAGCAGUGGGGAAUAUUGCACAAUGGGCGAAAGCCUGAUGCAGCGACGCCGCGUGGGGGAUGAAGGCCUUCGGGUUGUAAACUCCUUUCGCUAGGGACGAAGAGUUACAUUGACGGUACCUGGAGAAGAAGCACCGGCUAACUACGUGCCAGCAGCCGCGGUAAUACGUAGGGUGCGAGCGUUGUCCGGAAUUACUGGGCGUAAAGAGCUCGUAGGUGGUUUGUCGCGUCGUCUGUGAAAUCCCGGGGCUUAACUCCGGGCGUGCAGGCGAUACGGGCAUAACUUGAGUGCUGUAGGGGAGACUGGAAUUCCUGGUGUAGCGGUGAAAUGCGCAGAUAUCAGGAGGAACACCAAUGGCGAAGGCAGGUCUCUGGGC